GAAGCUGCGUUCGCGCAUGCGUGGUCCUAGAGCUACGGUGACACUUCGCGUGAUGUGUAGGCGCAUCUUUGCUCUGUUGGCCGUGGCUUUAGUAAGCACACACCUGCCUGCUACUCUGGUUAUCGUGGCGACGGCAGGUCUGGAUUGCCAGACAGGUUUUUCUUUUUACCUCGAGGCUUUCUCUGAAGGGAGUCGGAGCAUUUAAAAGGCGGCCUCAAGGUGGAUUGAGUCGGGGGAGGAUUAGCAGUAUUUGCUUAGGUUGUAAAACCGCGACUUUAUCUAAUAAAUCGCCAUUCAAGGUGCAAAUACAAACUUGGAACAGAGAUGAUCUGCCUCUGAAACCUUCCGUGGGCACAGAAAUUUCUGCAAGGAAAGCAUCAGCAACCAGAAUAAUUUGGUGAGGAAGAUUUGGCACAGAAUACCCUGACUGAGGUAUUGCUCCAAAAGGAGCAAUCCUUUGGGGUUAGGAGUCAAUUAUUAGGUGCCUACAAAACACUCUGUUAUUUCGACUAAACAUGCCUUGCUGUCAAGGAGAAGAAAGAACUGUGCACUGAAAACCAGAACAGCCAAAAGAGAAUGUGGCUGUGGUCAUGGGAAAGGUCUUUGAAUAACAGGGAAAAGGAGACAGGGCAGUUGAAGGAAGGAUAAGAAAAGGCUACUUCCUAGCAGGAAUUAAUAAACUAAUGUUUUUAUUAUUUAAUAGAAACCCAUUCCUUUGUUUCAAAUAAGGCAGACAUAAGUUAGGAUUGGAUGUAGCUAUAUAGAUCCCUAUUUCUGGCACAGGCUGAUAGCAAUAAAGGAAGUCAGAACACAACCCCACUCUCACCCACAUCCCACUUUGCAAAAACCAUGACCCAAAUGCCUCUGUAGAUACUGGGCUGUGGACUGCUGGCAAAGCCUCAGGAGCCUUUGCUGUACUGAGUGAUCUACCUUUAGAUUGACAGCAGCGGCUGUGGAGUAACAUCUGAAUGUUGAUUGACAGUGCAGUUUGUGGGAAUAAAGCAGGGAGGGAAACCCUUUAACCAGUUUCCAUUUCUUGGUGUCUUAAAGUUUUCAUCUUACUAAAGAAUCAAACCGUGGUGUAAUCCAGAGGAAGAGCAUCCCUCAUCCUGGCAGCCCUGCUAUACCACAUCUGCCUAUCCAUAGUGAAAGACACCAUAUUUUUAAGAAAAUAUGAAAUGCAGAGAUGAAAACUAUUUUAGAGCAAAUGAUUUUAAAUAAAAAGAAGGUUGCAUACUCAUUUUAAAUGAUUUUAAUUUUCUGAAUAUUAUGUUCCAACUCAAGAUAUUGCACAAUGCUUUAAUAUUACACUUGUUAUUUUUCUCACACUAGUGAGAUUUUGAUAAACAUAGUUGACUUUGGAAGUAACAGAGAAUGUUUUCAUUGGUUAAAUAAUUUCAAUGACCUGUGAGGAACUGAAAGCAAGCUAUUACAUUCAUAUAAAAGAUAAGUACAUAUCCAUAAAUUCACUUGGAUUCAAUGAAAAAUAAUAAACUUCUCAUGUACUUAAUAAAACUUAAAGGAAAUAAAAUUUUAAAUGGUGCAAAAAUAGAAUGUAUUUCUUAAAGUUUCGAAAACCCUUAGACCUAAAAGAAUUCUAAGAAUAUUUGGCCACAUUAUAAGCCUCUUAUUUGUAAAAGCUAACACUUGAUAAUUUUAAAACAAAAUCUAAAUUAAAUAAAUAUAGUUCUGCAUUAUUAAAGUAACAAAAUCUAUUAUGGUAAGGUAAAAUUUCCCUAAAUAAUAUAAACAAAAAACAACACCAGAAAGCAAAUGUAUCACGUUAUGGCAUCGAUAAACAUUUCUGUUCAAAUGUAUGGAUCUACAGCAUUUUCUCUAGGUAACACACACAGUUGUUAUCACAUUAUUAUGGAAUAAAUGCUGAAAAAUUAAGAAAAAAAUACUAAUGGUUACUAGGCCAAAGUCAAUUCCAAAAAACUCAAUUCUUAUAAACUUUUAUUAUAGUGAUUUUUACUGUAUUACAACACUUUUUUUCUCUUUUUGCUUUGUGAUUCAUAUUUUUAGCAGAGGCAUAGCACUGGAGAUAAAGAAGGGGAAAUAUGCCUCAGGUGGCAGUUGUGUUUUUUUAACUUCCAUUUUGCACUUUUGCUAUUUUUAGACUUGUUGCUCAUCAGAUUCAUUAACACACCCUACUUUUGCUAUGUUUUUUUUCUUCAUUUCCAGGAAAACUCAACGACAGCAUUAGGAGAAAAGGCAAAAACUUUACAUUGCCUGAUACACCACUUAUUCUUGCUCUGCCACUGAUUUGUAGUAGCUGUGUAUUACUGCAUAGCGUUGUUGUCUCUAUUAACGCUUAGAGAUUCCACACCAUGAAUUUUUUUAUGGUCAUCCUAAGAUACAAUGAAUUCUUCACAUUUUGUGAAAAUUAUAGGCAUCUGACAGCUGGUGUAUUUAUCUACCAUCUUCAUCAAACUCGAAUAUUUUAUAAAAUACUUGAGAAAAGAUCUCUACCAAAGAUACCCUCAUGAAACACUCUCUUAUCAAAAAGAAAAGGGUAAAAUUAUGGAUUAGUUCAAUUGUACCUUGAACUAGAAAUGCUGAUUAUGAUUAUAUUUCGGAAAACAGUUAUAAUUAUUUCAUUAAAAAUGAUUCCCAUUUAGAAUGAUGACUGGAGACUUAUUUACAAGAAAAGAUAGAGAAAUUUUAUGAGCCUAGGAUUGUGCCAGGAUUGCCUGUGAGGGCAGUUUUUUCAAUUGCAUAUGCAUGUUGAGAUGGGACUAUUUAUGAUCUUAUUUCCUUAUUCAUUAGAGAAGGAGAUGACCAGUGUUUUAUGGGGUUUUUUUGGUUAAUUUUGCAUAUUCUCUUAUUUCAAAAUUAAUCUAAUUAAUUUUAUUCAUGUGUCACCCAGAUUGCAUUUGGGUUUAAACAGAGGACUUAAUCAUAGCAUGGACAGAAAAAGCUCACCAUCUAUCUAAAUGACUUUGAUUGCACCAUCAUCCUCAUUGUUCUUGUAAGUUCCAAAUUCACUAUAAAUCUGGGGAAAAAAAACCUUCAAAUCCAAAUAUACAUACAUUUCUUAUAGUAUUUUAAUUUAAAUCAAGAAGUAUUUAAAAUCUUAUCCUCUAACAUUUUCACUAUUAGUAUAAUAAAAUUCCCACAAGUUGAGAAAGUUAUUUGCUUCAAAUACUAAUCUAAUAUAUCAAAUAAUUUUGCCAUCAGAGGUACAAACAUUGGCAAAUAGGAUACUUAACUGUGAGUCAAAAAAUAUAACAGUACUAACUAAAACACUUUUCUAAUUGAAAAUGUCAUUACAGUCAACAUUUUCAGAAAACAAAACCCAGUAACAAUUCUAAAAAAUCACACAUACACACUCCAGUUUUCUUAGUAACCAAAAUUCUGGAAGGUUAUGUGAUGUUUUCACAAUCAUUCAAGCUAUGGCAAGCCUACUGUAACAUUUCUUUUACUUUAAAAAAUUAAAAAUAAUUUUAACAUCAUAUAAUUUAUAAUACAUGUUGAAAAUGAUUUGCCAAUUCCCCAAGGUGUAACUUAAAACCUUCCAAGGUUACAUAGGGGAGGAAGUCCAUCAUUAAUUUUUCUAUUCCAGAGACUCAGUUUGGAUGCCCGUGUGUGGGCUUCUAAAGCUGAGCACAACCUGUGAGCUAGAGAAAUGGGCCAGCAGUCCUCCUUGUGUGGCUUUUAGUUAUCCUUGUGACACUCAGAAGCAUUCUCUCUUUAAUUUCAGUAAAGUUACAUGAUAAAUGACUUCCACAUUCAGAAACUGAUGUGUCAACUCUUAAUUUAUCUUUAAAGUUAUCUUUAAAGACCUUACUAAAAACAUGUCCAUAUUAACAGCCUUUAAAAAAAAAAGUAUAUUACCAGGGUUUCAAGUAGACUUUAGAUGCACAUUUUCACAUAAACCUAAAUUCAACAGUAGCUCUGACGUUGAGAUUUGAGUAAUGCAUGUUGUGCUUUUUAUCUUCAAAGAAUAUAUUCUCUGACCUACCUGUAGUUAUGAAAA
Gorilla gorilla gorilla (western lowland gorilla) is the source of this 3979-nucleotide long non-coding RNA. RefSeq lists it as uncharacterized. The record is from RefSeq and is a predicted model, not a curated record. NCBI's taxonomy places the organism in Eukaryota, Metazoa, Chordata, Mammalia, Primates, Hominidae. The transcript has 2 exons.